RNAcentral lists this long non-coding RNA (850 nucleotides) under Mytilus galloprovincialis (Mediterranean mussel). Lineage: Eukaryota; Metazoa; Mollusca; Bivalvia; Mytilida; Mytilidae. The record is from RNAcentral.
AUUAAGUGAGAGAUAUUUUAGUAGCCAACAUGAUGAUGUUCUUUUACACAAUGUCAAUUGUGAAUAAUUUCAUCUUCAGGUACCGUCCUUCCUUUAGGGGAUAUAUAUCUAACAGUAAUAAUUAGCCAGUAAGCAUGAAGAUUUCAAUUCAACCCUGUUAAGGCGGAUUCGCUCAACUCCUAUCUUAGUCGACUGGGAUUGCCAGUUUUCUUACCGAAGACCGGAGUGUCUACUGGAAGCCUUCAACAAUAAAAGGAAACUAGUAGUCGAAAACUGAGCUAGCAAAACAAUUCAUUUAAUGAAACACGCAGAUCAAAACUAUUUGCUUGGAAAUGCAAAUAAUUUUUGUACGCAUAUAUUUGCUAUUUAUCGUUAUAACAAGUUAGCAACCUGCAUAUCAUAUAUAAAUAUUCUCGUCCUAAAUUCAUUUAAUGAAGUAAUCUAAGUUUAACAACUUCUAACAAUCUAACUAUGACUAUAAAAAAAGGUCUAUAGCACCAUAAACUUUACUAAGUCCAUAGUCUCUGUCCCUCUGUCUGUCUUUUAAUGUUUCCCGCUUUUCAAAACAAAUCAAGUCAACAUCUCCACCUGUUCUCACCUUUUUGCCAUCGAACACCACCACGUUAGACUUGUUGUUUUGGUCUGUGUCGGAUUUCAUCUUUAUCAUUGAUGUAAGUAUUCCUGGCGGCAUUUCAGUUUCAAAAUUAUUUCCUAAAGGAUUAAUAUCUCAUAAACUGUUCUCACUUGGACAAGGAAUUUUUUUUGAAUGCAUUGGAUCUAGUAGUUGACUCUCGCCUUGUAGGUAUGCUGUUUCAUUUCUUAGACCAGACAUGAAUCUAAUAAAACGUCG